GAUGAACGCUGGCGGCGUGCCUAAUACAUGCAAGUCGAGCGAACGGACGAGAAGCUUGCUCUUCUGAUGUUAGCGGCGGACGGGUGAGUAACACGUGGAUAACCUACCUCUAAGACUUGGAUAACUUCGGGAAACCGGAGCUAAUACCGGAUAAUAUUUUGAACCGCAUGGUUCAAAAGUGAAAGACGGUCUUGCUGUUACUUUUAGAUGGAUCCGCGCUGCAUUAGCUAGUUGGUAAGGUACCGGCUUACCAAGGCAACGAUGCAUAGCCGACCUGAGAGGGUGAUCGGCCACACUGGAACUGAGACACGGUCCAGACUCCUACGGGAGGCAGCAGUAGGGAAUCUUCCGCAAUGGGCGAAAGCCUGACGGAGCAACGCCGCGUGAGUGAUGAAGGUCUUCGGAUCGUAAAACUCUGUUAUUAGGGAAGAACAUAUGUGUAAGUAACUGUGCACAUCUUGACGGUACCUAAUCAGAAAGCCACGGCUAACUACGUG
Molecule: ribosomal RNA, 497 nt
Filed under: uncultured bacterium
Lineage: Bacteria
Description: partial 16S ribosomal RNA
Rfam family: Bacterial small subunit ribosomal RNA
Source: RNAcentral